UACGAAGGGGGCUAGCGUUGUUCGGAAUUACUGGGCGUAAAGAGCGUGUAGGCGGCCAUGUAGGUCCGUUGUGAAAACUCGAGGCUCAACCUCGAGACGCCGAUGGAAACCAUGUGGCUAGAGUCCGGAAGAGGAGAGUGGAAUUCCCGGUGUAGCGGUGAAAUGCGCAGAUAUCGGGAAGAACACCCGUGGCGAAGGCGGCUCUCUGGGACGGUACUGACGCUGAGACGCGAAAGCGUGGGGAGCGAACAGG
This 253-nucleotide ribosomal RNA is filed under the name uncultured bacterium. RNAcentral describes it as "partial 16S ribosomal RNA". It matches the Rfam family "Bacterial small subunit ribosomal RNA", at positions 524 to 776 of the family's 1533-position model. The record is from RNAcentral.